RNAcentral lists this ribosomal RNA (812 nucleotides) under uncultured bacterium. RNAcentral describes it as "bacterial SSU rRNA". It matches the Rfam family "Bacterial small subunit ribosomal RNA", at positions 1 to 784 of the family's 1533-position model. The record is from RNAcentral.
AUGAGAGUUUGAUCCUGGCUCAGGAUGAACGCUAGCGGCGCGCUUAACACAUGCAAGUCGUGCGAUCGGACCGGACCUGAUUCCUUCGGGAUGACGGACCGGUUACGGAGCGGCGGACGGGUGAGUAACACGUAGCUAACCUGCCUUCGGGCGGGGGAUAGCAUCGGGAAACCGUUGUUAAUACCCCAUAAUACCAACGAAACACAAGUUACGUUGGUCAAAAUUGUCUUUGGCAAUACCUGAAGAUGGGGCUGCGUCCUAUUAGCUAGACGGUGAGGUAAAGGCUCACCGUGGCCAAGAUAGGUAGGGGGCCUGAGAGGGCGAUCCCUCACACUGGAACUGAGACACGGUCCAGACUCCUACGGGAGGCUGCAGUGGGGAAUCUUGCGCAAUGGUCGAAAGGCUGACGCAGCGACGCCGCGUGGAGGACGAAGGCCUUCGGGUUGUAAACUCCUUUUCUGGGGGACGAAUAAGGUAAGUAGGUAAUGGCUUACCGAUGACGGUACUCCAGGAACAAGCGCCGGCUAACUUCGUGCCAGCAGCCGCGGUAAGACGAAGGGCGCAAGCGUUAUCCGGAAUUACUGGGCGUAAAGGGUGUCUAGGCGGUCGGUCAAGUCGACCGUGAAAGUCCUCGGCUAAACUGAGGAAAGUCGGCCGAAACUGAUCGACUCGAGGAACGUAGAGGGAAGCGGAACUCUCGGAGUAGCGGUGAAAUGCGUAGAGACCGAGAGGUACCCCGAUGGUGAAGACAGCUUCCUGGGCGUUUCCUGACGCUGAAGCACUAAGGCCAGGGGAGCGAAGGGGAUUAGAUA